RNAcentral lists this ribosomal RNA (304 nucleotides) under uncultured fungus. RNAcentral's name for it is "SSU rRNA". It matches the Rfam family "Eukaryotic small subunit ribosomal RNA", at positions 1353 to 1680 of the family's 1831-position model. Lineage: Eukaryota; Fungi. The record is from RNAcentral.
AACUAGACGCGCUCACCUUGGUGGGUGUCGUCUUCUUAGAGGGACUAUCUAUGUUUAAUAGAUGGAAGUUUGAGGCAAUAACAGGUCUGUGAUGCCCUUAGAUGUUCUGGGCCGCACGCGCGCUACACUGAUAAAGCCAGCGAGUCUUUACCUUGACCGGAAGGUCUGGGCAAUCUUGUGAAACUUUAUCGUGAUGGGGAUUGACCAUUGCAAUUAUUGGUCAUGAACGAGGAAUUCCUAGUAAGUGCGAGUCAUCAGCUCGCGUUGAUUACGUCCCUGCCCUUUGUACACACCGCCCGUCGAU